This is a non-coding RNA of Citrus sinensis (sweet orange), 125 nucleotides long. NCBI's taxonomy places the organism in Eukaryota, Viridiplantae, Streptophyta, Magnoliopsida, Sapindales, Rutaceae. The record is from Rfam.
AAGAAGAAUCUGUUAAGCUCAGGAGGGAUAGCGCCAUGGGUGCCAUGAAUAUGGGAAUGAUCUAGGGUUUCAUGAUAAAUAAUGGGCACUGGCGCUAUCCAUCCUGAGUUUCAUGGCUUCUUCUU